UCCCUGGUUGUCCAGUGGUUAGGACUCCAUGUUCUCACUGCCAAGGGCCCAGGUUCAAUCCCUGGUUGGGGAA
Molecule: transfer RNA, 73 nt
Filed under: Bos taurus (domestic cattle)
Lineage: Eukaryota; Metazoa; Chordata; Mammalia; Artiodactyla; Bovidae
Also listed under: 2 other names
Rfam family: tRNA
About the family: Transfer RNA (tRNA) molecules are approximately 80 nucleotides in length. Their secondary structure includes four short double-helical elements and three loops (D, anti-codon, and T loops). Further hydrogen bonds mediate the characteristic L-shaped molecular structure. tRNAs have two regions of fundamental functional importance: the anti-codon, which is responsible for specific mRNA codon recognition, and the 3' end, to which the tRNAs corresponding amino acid is attached (by aminoacyl-tRNA synthetases). tRNAs cope with the degeneracy of the genetic code in two manners: having more than one tRNA (with a specific anti-codon) for a particular amino acid; and 'wobble' base-pairing, i.e. permitting non-standard base-pairing at the 3rd anti-codon position.
Source: Rfam by way of RNAcentral